RNAcentral lists this microRNA precursor (147 nucleotides) under Hordeum vulgare. RNAcentral's name for it is "microRNA MIR1122". It matches the Rfam family "MIR1120/MIR1122 microRNA precursor family". Lineage: Eukaryota; Viridiplantae; Streptophyta; Magnoliopsida; Poales; Poaceae. The record is from RNAcentral.
GUCAUACUCCCUUCCUCUCAAAAUUCUUGUCUUAGGUUUGUCUAGAUAUGAAUGUAUCUAGUCACGUUUUUCCUUAAAUUUAGUAUUUAGAUACAUUCAUUUCUAGACAAAUCUAAGACAAGAAUUUUGGGACGGAGGGAGUAUUUG